RNAcentral lists this long non-coding RNA (408 nucleotides) under Rattus norvegicus (Norway rat). Its description in RNAcentral is "long non-coding RNA NONRATT001145". Lineage: Eukaryota; Metazoa; Chordata; Mammalia; Rodentia; Muridae. The record is from RNAcentral.
CACGAGCCAAGCCGUGAUUCAGUGGAGGAAGCAGGGGCUGUGGAGGCGGUUGCUGCCGAGUGGUAAAAUAUCACUUGCGUUUUGUUGGUGCACAGAGGACCAUAUGGUGGCCAGACAAGAUAGGCUGGAAAACGAGACUUCUCUUUCCAAAUCAUCCUUCUCUAAAACCCAGGAAUCCAAAUUAUCUUGACGGAGGAAGUCCUGGGUACAUCAAGGAGGGAUUCCUGGCAGUGCAGCAUGCCGUGGACAAGAGCAUCAUGCUGUAUCAUGAAAGCCGUGCUGGGAAAGAGCUCUUUGAAAACAUUGACACUCUGGUACAGAGGUUUCCAUACCCAAGUCAUCCCCAGGACAAACUACUUUGGAUCUCCAGUCCCUUCAUCCCACUAAUGUUCAUACUCAUGUUCUCUU